AUAAGAAACCACCAGGAUAUGAUAAUCGCAAAAUUCUAUUGUUUUCAGCAUCCUGACUAGAUGGGCUUGUGAGCAAGCCACUGAUCCAAAAUGAUUGCUAAGACACUAUGUUUGAUAAAGAUGCAAAUCUAAGCUUCAAGUAAUAUAGCAAUCUAAUCUAUCCAGAGACAAGAUUACGUACAUAAUAAUCGCAAAAUAAACGUAUCAAGUUCCCUAAAAUGCAGAUAAA
This 229-nucleotide unclassified non-coding RNA is filed under the name Hevea brasiliensis (rubber tree). The record is from RNAcentral. Lineage: Eukaryota; Viridiplantae; Streptophyta; Magnoliopsida; Malpighiales; Euphorbiaceae.